CAGUAAUGCGUUAAGCUAACUGAUACUAAUUGCCCGUAAGGCUUGAUCCUAUAACAG
This 57-nucleotide ribosomal RNA is filed under the name Paraburkholderia fungorum. RNAcentral describes it as "partial 23S ribosomal RNA". Lineage: Bacteria; Pseudomonadati; Pseudomonadota; Betaproteobacteria; Burkholderiales; Burkholderiaceae. The record is from RNAcentral.